CUAAGGUAGCCUCCAGAGCAUGCAGGACCUAGCUGGUCUUCCCUGGUCUCCUACCCCUUGGGGGCAAUGAGCACAGGGAGAUCCAGGAAUGCCUCCUGCAGCCCUGAUCCCCUAGUGUCUUCAUCAUCUGCCAGGUUAUUUCCUGAGCCCAAGCACCCAUUCUUGUGCUGCCUGAGCCACCUGUUGAACUUGGAGGCAGCUGCUGGUUAUCAGUUUCAGAAAAAUCAUUAAUAAACAUUUCAGAAGACAUGGAGAAAUAAGACUCUGGAUACUACCAGGGAAGACAACUAGAGAUGCAAAUUCUUGUUGAGAGAAUAGUUGGGAUAUCUUGUAAAUACCGUGGCCUUGCUAACACUCUAUUAAACUCAGUUUGAUA
Herpailurus yagouaroundi (jaguarundi) is the source of this 376-nucleotide long non-coding RNA. RefSeq lists it as uncharacterized. The record is from RefSeq and is a predicted model, not a curated record. The transcript is spliced from 2 exons. Lineage: Eukaryota; Metazoa; Chordata; Mammalia; Carnivora; Felidae.